GAUGAACGCUGGCGGCGUGCCUAAUACAUGCAAGUCGAGCGAACGGACGAGAAGCUUGCUUCUCUGAUGUUAGCGGCGGACGGGUGAGUAACACGUGGAUAACCUACCUAUAAGACUGGGAUAACUUCGGGAAACCGUAGCUAAUACCGGAUAAUAUUUUGAACCGCAUGGUUCAAAAGUGAAAGACGGUCUUGCUGUCACUUAUGGAUGGAUCCGCGCUGCAUUAGCUAGUUGGUAAGGUAACGGCUUACCAAGGCAACGAUGCAUAGCCGACCUGAGAGGGUGAUCGGCCACACUGGAACUGAGACACGGUCCAUACUCCUACGGGAGGCAGCAGUAGGGAAUCUUCCGCAAUGGGCGAAAGCCUGACGGAGCAACGCCGCGUGAGUGAUGAAGGUCUUCGGAUCGUAAAACUCUGUUAUUAGGGAAGAACAUAUGUGUAAGUAACUGUGCACAUCUUGACGGUACCUAAUCAGAAAGCCACGGCUAACUACGUG
RNAcentral lists this ribosomal RNA (497 nucleotides) under uncultured bacterium. RNAcentral's name for it is "partial 16S ribosomal RNA". It matches the Rfam family "Bacterial small subunit ribosomal RNA", at positions 28 to 507 of the family's 1533-position model. The record is from RNAcentral.